Molecule: non-coding RNA, 21 nt
Filed under: Caenorhabditis elegans
Lineage: Eukaryota; Metazoa; Nematoda; Chromadorea; Rhabditida; Rhabditidae
Source: RNAcentral
UUUUCAACUAUAAAACCAAGC